RNAcentral lists this ribosomal RNA (1490 nucleotides) under uncultured bacterium. RNAcentral's name for it is "bacterial SSU rRNA". It matches the Rfam family "Bacterial small subunit ribosomal RNA". The record is from RNAcentral.
AGAGUUUGAUCAUGGCUCAGAUUGAACGCUGGCGGCNGGCUUAACACAUGCAAGUCGAACGAUGACUCUCUAGCUUGCUAGAGAAGAUUAGUGGCGGACGGGUGAGUAACAUUUAGGAAUCUGCCUAGUAGUGGGGGAUAGCUCGGGGAAACUCGAAUUAAUACCGCAUACGACCUACGGGUGAAAGGGGGCGCAAGCUCUUGCUAUUAGAUGAGCCUAAAUCAGAUUAGCUAGUUGGUGGGGUAAAGGCCCACCAAGGCGACGAUCUGUAACUGGUCUGAGAGGAUGAUCAGUCACACCGGAACUGAGACACGGUCCGGACUCCUACGGGAGGCAGCAGUGGGGAAUAUUGGACAAUGGGGGCAACCCUGAUCCAGCCAUGCCGCGUGUGUGAAGAAGGCCUUUUGGUUGUAAAGCACUUUAAGCAGGGAGGAGAGGCUAAUGGUUAAUACCCAUUAGAUUAGACGUUACCUGCAGAAUAAGCACCGGCUAACUCUGUGCCAGCAGCCGCGGUAAUACAGAGGGUGCGAGCGUUAAUCGGAAUUACUGGGCGUAAGGCGAGUGUAGGUGGCUCAUUAAGUCACAUGUGAAAUCCCCGGGCUUAACCUGGGAACUGCAUGUGAUACUGGUGGUGCUAGAAUAUGUGAGAGGGAAGUAGAAUUCCAGGUGUAGCGGUGAAAUGCGUAGAGAUCUGGAGGAAUACCGAUGGCGAAGGCAGCUUCCUGGCAUAAUAUUGACACUGAGAUUCGAAAGCGUGGGUAGCAAACAGGAUUAGAUACCCUGGUAGUCCACGCCGUAAACGAUGUCUACUAGCCGUUGGGGUCCUUGAGACUUUAGUGGCGCAGUUAACGCGAUAAGUAGACCGCCUGGGGAGUACGGCCGCAAGGUUAAAACUCAAAUGAAUUGACGGGGGCCCGCACAAGCGGUGGAGCAUGUGGUUUAAUUCGAUGCAACGCGAAGAACCUUACCUGGUCUUGACAUAGUGAGAAUCCUGCAGAGAUGCGGGAGUGCCUUCGGGAAUUCACAUACAGGUGCUGCAUGGCUGUCGUCAGCUCGUGUCGUGAGAUGUUGGGUUAAGUCCCGCAACGAGCGCAACCCUUUUCCUUAUUUGCCAGCGGGUUAAGCCGGGAACUUUAAGGAUACUGCCAGUGACAAACUGGAGGAAGGCGGGGACGACGUCAAGUCAUCAUGGCCCUUACGACCAGGGCUACACACGUGCUACAAUGGUAGGUACAGAGGGUUGCUACACAGCGAUGUGAUGCUAAUCUCAAAAAGCCUAUCGUAGUCCGGAUUGGAGUCUGCAACUCGACUCCAUGAAGUCGGAAUCGCUAGUAAUCGCAGAUCAGAAUGCUGCGGUGAAUACGUUCCCGGGCCUUGUACACACCGCCCGUCACACCAUGGGAGUCUAUUGCACCAGAAGUAGGUAGCCUAACGAAAGAGGGCGCUUACCACGGUGUGGUCGAUGACUGGGGUGAAGUCGUAACAAGGUA